CUUAGCUCAGUUGGUAGAGCAAUUGACUCUUAAUCAAUGGGUCCAGGGUUCGAAUCCCUG
This 60-nucleotide transfer RNA is filed under the name Paraprevotella clara. It matches the Rfam family "tRNA", at positions 8 to 63 of the family's 71-position model. From Rfam's summary of the family: Transfer RNA (tRNA) molecules are approximately 80 nucleotides in length. Their secondary structure includes four short double-helical elements and three loops (D, anti-codon, and T loops). The record is from RNAcentral. Lineage: Bacteria; Pseudomonadati; Bacteroidota; Bacteroidia; Bacteroidales; Prevotellaceae. RNAcentral also lists the same sequence under 3 other names.